RNAcentral lists this transfer RNA (86 nucleotides) under Paenibacillus sp. RNAcentral's name for it is "tRNA-Leu". It matches the Rfam family "tRNA". From Rfam's summary of the family: Transfer RNA (tRNA) molecules are approximately 80 nucleotides in length. Their secondary structure includes four short double-helical elements and three loops (D, anti-codon, and T loops). RNAcentral also lists the same sequence under 2 other names. The record is from RNAcentral. Lineage: Bacteria; Bacillati; Bacillota; Bacilli; Caryophanales; Paenibacillaceae.
GCGGUCGUGGUGGAACGGCAGACACGCUGUCUUCAGGCGGCAGUGAGCGCAAGCUCGUGGAGGUUCAAAUCCUCUCGACCGCACCA